This 928-nucleotide ribosomal RNA is filed under the name Dyella sp. Its description in RNAcentral is "bacterial SSU rRNA". It matches the Rfam family "Bacterial small subunit ribosomal RNA", at positions 56 to 1232 of the family's 1533-position model. Lineage: Bacteria; Pseudomonadati; Pseudomonadota; Gammaproteobacteria; Lysobacterales; Rhodanobacteraceae. The record is from RNAcentral.
UGCAGUCGAACGGCAGCACAGCAGUAGCAAUACUGUGGGUGGCGAGUGGCGGACGGGUGAGUAAUGCAUCGGGAUCUACCCAAACGUGGGGGAUAACGUAGGGAAACUUACGCUAAUACCGCAUACGUCCUAAGGGAGAAAGCGGGGGACCGAAAGGCCUCGCGCGGUUGGACGAACCGAUGUGCGAUUAGCUAGUUGGUAGGGUAAUGGCCUACCAAGGCGACGAUCGCUAGCUGGUCUGAGAGGAUGAUCAGCCACACUGGAACUGAGACACGGUCCAGACUCCUACGGGAGGCAGCAGUGGGGAAUAUUGGACAAUGGGCGCAAGCCUGAUCCAGCAAUGCCGCGUGUGUGAAGAAGGCCUUCGGGUUGUAAAGCACUUUUAUCAGGAGCGAAAUACUACUGGCUAAUAACCGGUGGGGCUGACGGUACCUGAGGAAUAAGCACCGGCUAACUUCGUGCCAGCAGCCGCGGUAAUACGAAGGGUGCAAGCGUUAAUCGGAAUUACUGGGCGUAAAGCGUGCGUAGGCGGUGAGUUAAGUCUGUUGUGAAAUCCCCGGGCUCAACCUGGGAAUGGCAAUGGAUACUGGCUCGCUAGAGUGUGAUAGAGGAUGGUGGAAUUCCCGGUGUAGCGGUGAAAUGCGUAGAGAUCGGGAGGAACAUCAGUGGCGAAGGCGGCCAUCUGGAUCAACACUGACGCUGAGGCACGAAAGCGUGGGGAGCAAACAGGAUUAGAUACCCCUGGUAGUCCACGCCCUAAACGAUGCGAACUGGGAUGUUGGUCUCAACUCCGGAGAUCAAUUGUCGAAGCUAACGCCGUUAAGUUCGCCGGCCUGGGGGAGUACGGGCCGCAAGACUGAAACUCAAAAGGAAUUUGACGGGGGGCCCGCACAAACGGGGGGAGAAAAGGGGGGUUUAAAUUCCAAUG